GAUCCUGGCUCAGGAUGAACGCUAGCUACAGGCUUAACACAUGCAAGUCGCGGGGAAACGACAUCGAAAGCUUGCUUUUGAUGGGCGUCGACCGGCGCACGGGUGAGUAACGCGUAUCCAACCUGCCCAUCACUUGGGAAUAGCCUUGCGAAAGUAAGACUAAUGCCCAAUGAUAUCCCACGAAGGCAUCCGAAUGGGAUUAAAGAUUUAUCGGUGAUGGAUGGGGAUGCGU
This 232-nucleotide ribosomal RNA is filed under the name uncultured bacterium. Its description in RNAcentral is "partial 16S ribosomal RNA". It matches the Rfam family "Bacterial small subunit ribosomal RNA", at positions 15 to 236 of the family's 1533-position model. The record is from RNAcentral.